UUCCCCGGCCUCGAGUCUGAGAUCCGCCACUGCAUCCUGGGCGAGUGGCUGCCCAUCCUCAUCAUGGCUGUGUUCAACCUGUCAGACUUCGUGGGCAAGAUCCUGGCAGCCCUGCCUGUGGACUGGCGGGGCACCCACCUGCUGGCUUGUUCCUGCCUGCGUGUGGUCUUCAUCCCCCUCUUCAUCCUGUGCGUCUACCCCAGUGGCAUGCCCACCCUCCGCCACCCGGCCUGGCCCUGCAUCUUCUCACUGCUCAUGGGCAUCAGCAACGGCUACUUCGGCAGUGUGCCCAUGAUCCUGGCGGCAGGCAAAGUGAGCCCCAAGCAGCGGGAGCUGGCAGCGGCCCUAGCUCCAUCCCAGCCAGCAUUCUGCGGGGUCACGCACCGUGUCCCCACCCAGGACAGCAGACGCCCGCCAGAGUGUGCGCGCCCAGUGACUGCACCCCGGCCUUCAUCACUCGCCGGCACUGAUCAGGGCACCACCUGGGCCAGCCUCCACCAGGGACCCCUCCUCAUGAACCCUGGAGCCCUGGAGGAGAGGGGCAGCCCCCUACCUUGUCACCCUCAGGCCUCCCCCUUCUGUCCUCAUUCUUAGAGACUGCUUCUCCCAAACAAAACGCGUUAGCCAUCGUAGCCCUGGGUCUGAAUGGACCCACCUGCGGUCUGCAUCAGCCUCUGGGAAACCACAGCGGGGAUGCCAGCUGGGCACGUCAGGCCCUCCCCACACACCCACGCGAUGCCACAGGUCAGGGGGCUGUGCCUGACUAGGGAGCCCUCCCAUUGCUUUCCUCGCCC
This 794-nucleotide small RNA is filed under the name Pongo abelii (Sumatran orangutan). RNAcentral's name for it is "processed transcript". Lineage: Eukaryota; Metazoa; Chordata; Mammalia; Primates; Hominidae. The record is from RNAcentral.